UAUGCACGCUAGCGACAGGCUUAACACAUGCAAGUCGAGGGGCAGCACAGGUAGCAAUACCGGGUGGCGACCGGCGCACGGGUGAGUAACGCGUAUGCAACUUACCUAUCAGAGGGGGAUAACCCGGCGAAAGUCGGACUAAUACCGCAUGAAGCAGGGGUCCCGCAUGGGGAUAUUUGCUAAAGAUUCAUCGCUGAUAGAUAGGCAUGCGUUCCAUUAGGCAGUUGGCGGGGUAACGGCCCACCAAACCGACGAUGGAUAGGGGUUCUGAGAGGAAGGUCCCCCACAUUGGUACUGAGACACGGACCAAACUCCUACGGGAGGCAGCAGUGAGGAAUAUUGGUCAAUGGCCGAGAGGCUGAACCAGCCAAGUCGCGUGAGGGAUGAAGGUUCUAUGGAUCGUAAACCUCUUUUAUAGGGGAAUAAAGUGCGGGACGUGUCCCGUUUUGUAUGUACCUUAUGAAUAAGGAUCGGCUAACUCCGUG
This 485-nucleotide ribosomal RNA is filed under the name uncultured bacterium. RNAcentral's name for it is "partial 16S ribosomal RNA". It matches the Rfam family "Bacterial small subunit ribosomal RNA", at positions 29 to 507 of the family's 1533-position model. The record is from RNAcentral.